CAUGGAAUAAUUUUAUCAUUAUCUUUCAUCUUACACAAAUCUUUCAAAUAUGAAACAAUUUUUAAAGAAAAUAUUUUUUCCAAGCCUCGAGAAUCGUUUUGUAUCAUUGCGUAUGCAAAGUGUUGCGUCAAAAUAGAGCAAUCAGCUGGAAAUUAUUACUGUUGGUCAAAUAACAAAUUGAUAAAAUAUCGGCACGAGGAAGAGAAGAGAAAAAGCAAAAGUUGAGCUGUAAGAGUUAACACUUGGAUCACGGAACUACGAAAAAAGCUAGAGUGUUGGUAGACAUUGUGCGAACGGAAAAAUACAGAGAUCUUGCGGGUUCAGGCGAGAAAGAGAGGAGAUGAAGAACUUAUCUUGGAUGAAGAGCAACUCAAAAAUUUUCAAGAGGUGGAGAAGUUAAAGAUCAAAGGAAUCUUUUUACACGAAAGAUUAAAGAUCAAAGGAACCUUUUUUCAUGAGAGAUUAAAGAUCAAAGGAACUUUUUACAUGAGAGAUUAAAGAUCAAAGGAACAGAAGUGAUGGAGAACUUAACUUGAAUGAAGAGUUAUUUCAGAAAUUGAAGAGGUCGUUUUAAAUGUAGUAUAUAAGUGCUUAUGCCAUACAAGUAAGAUGUGCAAUUGAAAAGCAAAAUUUGUGGUGAGCUAAAUAUAGGAUUACAGAGUAUCCUUAGAACAAAGAGGGCAGUGAUUUGUGCUGACUUCAACAUAAUGCUAACUGUGACCUCAUAGUGCUGAUGGUUACAUUAGACUGGCAGUGACCGCAGUUAUAGAUAAUGCAUUACCCAUGACGUUCAUUGUCUUAUGACUUUUGAUAAACACAAUUAACAUAAAGUAACAAGCUCAUCGGUCUUAAUACAAACACUACCCGUGAUAGACGGAUAGUUCGUGAAACCUUUGGCAAAAAGAAUGGAAAUGGUUACAGUGAAUACCUUUAUUGGAGAAGCAGGAACAUAAAGUGAGCAAAAAGAAGAGUGGAAUAAACACACAUGCAGGUAGAUAACAUUUUAUUUAAAUGAUGUAAUCUAAAAGAUCGGCUGUGACAAUUAAGAGAUUGCAAAGUGAUGGCAAACGAGAGUGUAAUUGAACUGUCCUAAAUCGUGAUGUAAGGAGAAAGUGAUGGAAACUGAAAAAAAGAAUGCUAUGUAGUCAUGAAAAAAAACUUGACGCAAGAUAUGUAUGUUUAACAAGAUGUGCUCGAGAUAACCAUUGCGUUCUUUACAGUGAAUGUGAUCAGAGAGACAGGAAGAAAACUUCUAAGAAUCGCUAAAACAGUUUAUCUUAUUUUUUUAACCCAAUGAAGUUAUUGUGUAUAAUGCUUGAUGAUUUCCAUUAGUUAUUAAAAUUUUCGCUCAACAUUGGGAUCACAGAGAUAACACCACCAUCGUACAUGAGAUGACUGUGCAGGAAAAUCUUUGAUAAAAUUUAAAACAAUCAAUUGCAGGAUAUUGUAAUGUUACUUGUGCAUAGACAAUUUAAUGAAUCACCUUAAUGCUUACGUACAGCUAUUUAAACAGUACUCUAUAAAUCUUGUUUUUUCGUACUCGCCCAUUUUAUGAUAAACAAAACCAAGAUUAA
Molecule: long non-coding RNA, 1574 nt
Organism: Xenia sp. Carnegie-2017
Lineage: Eukaryota; Metazoa; Cnidaria; Anthozoa; Malacalcyonacea; Xeniidae
Exons: 2
Source: RefSeq, a predicted model, not a curated record